This 490-nucleotide long non-coding RNA is filed under the name Ictidomys tridecemlineatus (thirteen-lined ground squirrel). RNAcentral describes it as "lncRNA (ENSSTOG00000030457.1)". The record is from RNAcentral. Lineage: Eukaryota; Metazoa; Chordata; Mammalia; Rodentia; Sciuridae.
UCUCCUGGCCCAGGGCCGGGGACCCUCCUGUGGGCUGCUUCCCUGCCAUCCUGGUGAGCUUACCUGAGAGGACGUUCUGCAACGAUGGCUUCUUGGAUGAGCUCCGACUCCAGGUUGUCAAUAUGGAACUGGCCGGUCUGCUCUCAGCAGCAGAGAGCGAGGUGUGAAACACGGGCUGAGUAAUCCCGUGGUGACACGGGGCAGCAGCACAAAAUUCUGUGGACAACCUUCCGUCAGAGGCAGCUGCAAGGCUCUGCUGCCAUCUGCUCCAGGCCAUGAUCUCAGAGAAGGAUUUAGCAAGUGUGUGUCAAUGAUGCUUUGAAGAUUCGUUUUACUCAGCGAUGAGUGAAGUGGCGGGACGGUCCAGUUGACUUAAUGAGCACUUGAGGAACAGAGAUUUAUUCAGCCCAUGGGAGAAAUGGUGCUGGGAUACACUUGCUUGCAGAUAGAUCUGGUAAGCAUAAGUAUGUACCAUGAAAUACUUGGGCUA